UACGUAGGGUGCGAGCGUUGUCCGGAAUUAUUGGGCGUAAAGAGCUCGUAGGCGGUCUGUCGCGUCGGUCGUGAAAACUUGGGGCUUAACCCUGAGCUUGCGGUCGAUACGGGCAUGACUGGAGUUCGGCAGGGGGGACUGGAAUUCCUGGUGUAGCGGUGAAAUGCGCAGAUAUCAGGAGGAACACCGGUGGCGAAGGCGGGUCUCUGGGCCGAUACUGACGCUGAGAAGCGAAAGCGUGGGGAGCGAACAGG
This 254-nucleotide ribosomal RNA is filed under the name uncultured bacterium. RNAcentral describes it as "partial 16S ribosomal RNA". It matches the Rfam family "Bacterial small subunit ribosomal RNA", at positions 524 to 776 of the family's 1533-position model. The record is from RNAcentral.